UCACCUUGGUUUCCCUUCAGUACACGCAUAAAUCUUUCGCCUUUUACUAAAGAUUUCCGUGGAGGGGAACACUUGAUAGGUCUAACGACCAAUUUUUUGAGAAGCUUGACGUAAGUCAAGCUC
This is a small nuclear RNA of Trichogramma pretiosum, 123 nucleotides long. RefSeq annotates it as U5 spliceosomal RNA. The transcript has a single exon. NCBI's taxonomy places the organism in Eukaryota, Metazoa, Arthropoda, Insecta, Hymenoptera, Trichogrammatidae. The record is from RefSeq and is a predicted model, not a curated record.